AUUUAGCAUGACUGUUAGUCACUUUGGAUAAAAGCGUCUGCUAAAUGUCAUAUA
Salmo salar (Atlantic salmon) is the source of this 54-nucleotide non-coding RNA. The record is from Rfam. Lineage: Eukaryota; Metazoa; Chordata; Actinopteri; Salmoniformes; Salmonidae.